This 449-nucleotide ribosomal RNA is filed under the name uncultured bacterium. RNAcentral's name for it is "partial 16S ribosomal RNA". It matches the Rfam family "Bacterial small subunit ribosomal RNA", at positions 29 to 523 of the family's 1533-position model. The record is from RNAcentral.
AACGAACGCUGGCGGCAUGCCUAACACAUGCAAGUCGAACGAGACCUUCGGGUCUAGUGGCGCACGGGUGCGUAACGCGUGGGAAUCUACCCUUGGGUUCGGAAUAACAGUUAGAAAUGACUGCUAAUACCGGAUGAUGACGUAAGUCCAAAGAUUUAUCGCCCAAGGAUGAGCCCGCGUAAGAUUAGCUUGUUGGUGGGGUAAUGGCCUACCAAGGCGACGAUCUUUAGCUGGUCUGAGAGGAUGAUCAGCCACACUGGGACUGAGACACGGCCCAGACUCCUACAGGAGGCAGCAGUGGGGAAUAUUGGACAAUGGGCGAAAGCCUGAUCCAGCAAUGCCGCGUGAGUGAUGAAGGCUGUAGGGUUGUAAAGCUCUUUUACCAGGGAUGAUAAUGACAGUACCUGGAGAAUAAGCUCCGGCUAACUCCGUGCCAGCCGCCGCCGUAA